RNAcentral lists this ribosomal RNA (253 nucleotides) under uncultured bacterium. RNAcentral's name for it is "partial 16S ribosomal RNA". It matches the Rfam family "Bacterial small subunit ribosomal RNA", at positions 524 to 776 of the family's 1533-position model. The record is from RNAcentral.
UACGUAGGGGGCGAGCGUUGUCCGAAGUUACUGGGCGUAAAGCGCGCGUAGGCGGGUUCUUAAGUGAGGGGUGAAAGGUUUGGGCUCAACCCAAACACUGCCUUUCAUACUGGGAGCCUUGAGUGCGGGAGAGGCGAGUGGAAUGGUCGGUGUAGCGGUGGAAUGCGUAGAGAUCGGGAAGAACAUCAGUGGCGAAGGCGGUCUGCUGGGCCGUUGCUGACGCUGAGGCGCGACAGCGUGGGGAGCAAACAGG